Molecule: ribosomal RNA, 1364 nt
Filed under: uncultured bacterium
Lineage: Bacteria
Description: bacterial SSU rRNA
Rfam family: Bacterial small subunit ribosomal RNA
Source: RNAcentral
CCUGCCGUCUACUCUUGGACAGCCUUCUGAAAGGAAGAUUAGUACAAGAUGGCAUCAUGAGUCCGCAUGUUCACAUGAUUAAAGGUAUUCCGGUAGACGAUGGGGAUGCGUUCCAUUAGAUAGUAGGCGGGGUAACGGCCCACCUAGUCUUCGAUGGAUAGGGGUUCUGAGAGGAAGGUCCCCCACAUUGGAACUGAGACACGGUCCAAACUCCUACGGGAGGCAGCAGUGAGGAAUAUUGGUCAAUGGGCGAGAGCCUGAACCAGCCAAGUAGCGUGAAGGAUGACUGCCCUACGGGUUGUAAACUUCUUUUAUAAAGGAAUAAAGUCGGGUAUGGAUACCCGUUUGCAUGUACUUUAUGAAUAAGGAUCGGCUAACUCCGUGCCAGCAGCCGCGGUAAUACGGAGGAUCCGAGCGUUAUCCGGAUUUAUUGGGUUUAAAGGGAGCGUAGAUGGAUGUUUAAGUCAGUUGUGAAAGUUUGCGGCUCAACCGUAAAAUUGCAGUUGAUACUGGAUAUCUUGAGUGCAGUUGAGGCAGGCGGAAUUCGUGGUGUAGCGGUGAAAUGCUUAGAUAUCACGAAGAACUCCGAUUGCGAAGGCAGCCUGCUAAGCUGCAACUGACAUUGAGGCUCGAAAGUGUGGGUAUCAAACAGGAUUAGAUACCCUGGUAGUCCACACGGUAAACGAUGAAUACUCGCUGUUUGCGAUAUACUGCAAGCGGCCAAGCGAAAGCGUUAAGUAUUCCACCUGGGGAGUACGCCGGCAACGGUGAAACUCAAAGGAAUUGACGGGGGCCCGCACAAGCGGAGGAACAUGUGGUUUAAUUCGAUGAUACGCGAGGAACCUUACCCGGGCUUAAAUUGCAGAUGAAUUACGGUGAAAGCCGUAAGCCGCAAGGCAUCUGUGAAGGUGCUGCAUGGUUGUCGUCAGCUCGUGCCGUGAGGUGUCGGCUUAAGUGCCAUAACGAGCGCAACCCUUGUUGUCAGUUACUAACAGGUUCCGCUGAGGACUCUGACAAGACUGCCAUCGUAAGAUGUGAGGAAGGUGGGGAUGACGUCAAAUCAGCACGGCCCUUACGUCCGGGGCUACACACGUGUUACAAUGGGGGGUACAGAGGGCCGCUACCACGCGAGUGGAUGCCAAUCCCCAAAACCUCUCUCAGUUCGGACUGGAGUCUGCAACCCGACUCCACGAAGCUGGAUUCGCUAGUAAUCGCGCAUCAGCCACGGCGCGGUGAAUACGUUCCCGGGCCUUGUACACACCGCCCGUCAAGCCAUGGGAGCCGGGGGUACCUGAAGUGCGUAACCGCGAGGAGCGCCCUAGGGUAAAACUGGUGACUGGGGCUAAGUCGUAACAAGGUAGCCG